AGUGAACGCUGGCGGUAGGCCUAACACAUGCCAGUCGAACGGCAGCACAGUAAGAGCUUGCUCUUACGGGUGGCGAGUGGCGGACGGGUGAGGAAUACAUCGGAAUCUACCUUUUCGUGGGGGAUAACGUAGGGAAACUUACGCUAAUACCGCAUACGACCUACGGGUGAAAGCAGGGGAUCUUCGGACCUUGCGCGAUUGAAUGAGCCGAUGUCGGAUUAGCUAGUUGGCGGGGUAAAGGCCCACCAAGGCGACGAUCCGUAGCUGGUCUGAGAGGAUGAUCAGCCACACUGGAACUGAGACACGGUCCAGACUCCUACGGGAGGCAGCAGUGGGGAAUAUUGGACAAUGGGCGCAAGCCUGAUCCAGCCAUACCGCGUGGGUGAAGAAGGCCUUCGGGUUGUAAAGCCCUUUUGUUGGGAAAGAAAAGCAGCAGGUUAAUACCCCGCUGUUCUGACGGUACCCAAAGAAUAAGCACCGGCUAACUUCGUG
This 492-nucleotide ribosomal RNA is filed under the name uncultured bacterium. RNAcentral's name for it is "partial 16S ribosomal RNA". It matches the Rfam family "Bacterial small subunit ribosomal RNA", at positions 29 to 507 of the family's 1533-position model. The record is from RNAcentral.